Molecule: ribosomal RNA, 496 nt
Filed under: uncultured bacterium
Lineage: Bacteria
Description: partial 16S ribosomal RNA
Rfam family: Bacterial small subunit ribosomal RNA
Source: RNAcentral
AUGAACGCUGGCGGCGUGCCUAAUACAUGCAAGUCGAGCGAACAGACGAGGAGCUUGCUCCUCUGACGUUAGCAGCGGACGGGUGAGUAACACGUGGAUAACCUACCUAUAAGACUGGGAUAACUUCGGGAAACCGGAGCUAAUACCGGAUAAUAUAUUGAACCGCAUGGUUCAAUAGUGAAAGACGGUUUUGCUGUCACUUAUAGAUGGAUCCGCGCCGCAUUAGCUAGUUGGUAAGGUAACGGCUUACCAAGGCAACGAUGCGUAGCCGACCUGAGAGGGUGAUCGGCCACACUGGAACUGAGACACGGUCCAGACUCCUACGGGAGGCAGCAGUAGGGAAUCUUCCGCAAUGGGCGAAAGCCUGACGGAGCAACGCCGCGUGAGUGAUGAAGGUCUUCGGAUCGUAAAACUCUGUUAUUAGGGAAGAACAAAUGUGUAAGUAACUAUGCACGUCUUGACGGUACCUAAUCAGAAAGCCACGGCUAACUACGUG